This 735-nucleotide ribosomal RNA is filed under the name uncultured Bacilli bacterium. RNAcentral's name for it is "bacterial SSU rRNA". It matches the Rfam family "Bacterial small subunit ribosomal RNA", at positions 28 to 734 of the family's 1533-position model. The record is from RNAcentral. Lineage: Bacteria; Bacillati; Bacillota; Bacilli.
GACGAACGCUGGCGGCGUGCCUAAUACAUGCAAGUCGAACGCUUCUUUUUCCACCGGAGCUUGCUCCACCGGAAAAAGAGGAGUGGCGAACGGGUGAGUAACACGUGGGUAACCUGCCCAUCAGAAGGGGAUAACACUUGGAAACAGGUGCUAAUACCGUAUAACAAUCAAAACCGCAUGGUUUUGAUUUGAAAGGCGCUUUCGGGUGUCGCUGAUGGAUGGACCCGCGGUGCAUUAGCUAGUUGGUGAGGUAACGGCUCACCAAGGCCACGAUGCAUAGCCGACCUGAGAGGGUGAUCGGCCACAUUGGGACUGAGACACGGCCCAAACUCCUACGGGAGGCAGCAGUAGGGAAUCUUCGGCAAUGGACGAAAGUCUGACCGAGCAACGCCGCGUGAGUGAAGAAGGUUUUCGGAUCGUAAAACUCUGUUGUUAGAGAAGAACAAGGAUGAGAGUAACUGUUCAUCCCUUGACGGUAUCUAACCAGAAAGCCACGGCUAACUACGUGCCAGCAGCCGCGGUAAUACGUAGGUGGCAAGCGUUGUCCGGAUUUAUUGGGCGUAAAGCGAGCGCAGGCGGUUUCUUAAGUCUGAUGUGAAAGCCCCCGGCUCAACCGGGGAGGGUCAUUGGAAACUGGGAGACUUGAGUGCAGAAGAGGAGAGUGGAAUUCCAUGUGUAGCGGUGAAAUGCGUAGAUAUAUGGAGGAACACCAGUGGCGAAGGCGGCUCUCUGGUC